RNAcentral lists this unclassified non-coding RNA (256 nucleotides) under Hevea brasiliensis (rubber tree). Lineage: Eukaryota; Viridiplantae; Streptophyta; Magnoliopsida; Malpighiales; Euphorbiaceae. The record is from RNAcentral.
CGCCUGACGAACCGUACACGGCGCCAAAGCGCCGGUCACCACGCCGCUUUCUCGGUCGGAUCGGGCUCAGUUCGUCUGCCGCCGGGCGCCUCACCGUCGGCGAGCACCGACAGGAUCCNNNNAAUGUGCUGGCGCGGCGGAGCAGGCGGACGGCGGCGGCACAGUCGCCAGUGGCGAGGCUUUGAAGGCCGGCCCCCAGCAGCGUCGCGCUUUGCUGCGCGAUGCGAUGGACAGUUUCAAGCUCCGCCCGGCAACG